CUUAGACCCAAUUUCUCAUAUUAAUAAGAUUAUAUAACAAUCCAUAUCUAUCAAUAUCUAUAUCUACAUCUAUAUCUAUACUAUAUAUAAAAAUAUAUAAAAAUUCCGAUAAUAACAAACAAAAUUCAAAAAAAAAUAAAAAAAUAUUUCCUAUAUUUCCUACAAACGAGUAUGAUCACUUAAUUAAAAAAAUCACAAAUAACAACGAACAGUUAUGAUUAAUCUAUUAAAAAAUAACAUUCUUAUCUAUCUAUAAAUCCAAUUCUACGAACGGUUGUAUUAAUUAAAAAUGAACGUUUCACCUAAUUAAAAAAAUCUCAAAUAAGAACGACGGUUAUGAUUAAUGUGUUAAAAAAUAAUAUUCUUAUCCAAAAAUUUUAAUUAUAGUGGAUCAAAAUUAAAUUUUAAAUUUUAAAAUAAAUAUGAA
RNAcentral lists this long non-coding RNA (427 nucleotides) under Ananas comosus (pineapple). RNAcentral's name for it is "long non-coding RNA (ACOM_LNC006384)". Lineage: Eukaryota; Viridiplantae; Streptophyta; Magnoliopsida; Poales; Bromeliaceae. The record is from RNAcentral.